UAUUCUGCACGCACCGAACCCUAGGGCUCCUCCUCCUCAUCCUUUCCUCCUCCGCACCCUCAACCGAUCUGGUGGCGACGAGUUCAAUAUGGCAGCAUAUCAUGCGCACCUCACAAAUCAUCCUUUUAUUGAUCCAACAAUCCAGCCACAUGGCGUUGGCGGAUAAGAGCCUCCUCUAAACAUUACGUACCCUCCGUCGAGAUUGGAACAACCUAUGUUCGCUACCCGAGAUCACCGGCACAUCGUCAAGCAAUCCUACUGCCGUUCUUCCUCAUCUCCGUGUCUCCUCCCCUACCAUUCGCCACUUCAACCUCACAUACAUACUAGAAUGGGUUCAAGAAAAGCUUGGUGAAGCACUGAAGCUUGAGUGGGUCUAUACACGGACAGAAAAGGAGAUGAGAUGCAUUGAACAUCAAUACGACAAAUAGAAGCAUAAGGUUUUCCAGUAUGGUGUGCUUCCCCUUGGUGGUUAUCCAUGAGUUGAUUUCAUUUUUUAGUUUGCAAGAAAGUUUCAAUUGACAAUAAUAAUACAGGAUGGUGUUGCUGCAUCUACUAGGAGAUACUAUGUGCUUCUCGCUGAGUAUUUCCAUACUGACUCCAUAUUGUUGCAGAUCUGAACCUGCAAGAUAUAUAUAUAUCUCUUAAAUAAUGUGUAUUAUGGGUAUUUCCAGUGUUGUACACACUUCUUUC
Hordeum vulgare subsp. vulgare (domesticated barley) is the source of this 690-nucleotide long non-coding RNA. RefSeq lists it as uncharacterized. The transcript has 3 exons. The record is from RefSeq and is a predicted model, not a curated record. NCBI's taxonomy places the organism in Eukaryota, Viridiplantae, Streptophyta, Magnoliopsida, Poales, Poaceae.